RNAcentral lists this ribosomal RNA (250 nucleotides) under uncultured bacterium. RNAcentral describes it as "partial 16S ribosomal RNA". It matches the Rfam family "Bacterial small subunit ribosomal RNA", at positions 524 to 773 of the family's 1533-position model. The record is from RNAcentral.
UACAGAGGGUGCAAGCGUUGUUCGGAAUCACUGGGCGUAAAGCGCGCGCAGGCGGGUGGGCAAGUCGGAAGUGAAAUCUCGCCGCUCAACGACGAGGCUGCUUCGGAUACUACCCAUCUAGGGACCGGUAGAGGCUGGUAGAAUUGCAGGUGUAGCGGUGGAAUGCGUAGAGAUCUGCAAGAAUACCCGUGGCGAAGGCGGCCAGCUGGGCCGGGUCCGACGCUGAGGCGCGAAAGCGUGGGGAGCAAAC